This is a non-coding RNA of Manis javanica (Malayan pangolin), 1396 nucleotides long. NCBI's taxonomy places the organism in Eukaryota, Metazoa, Chordata, Mammalia, Pholidota, Manidae. The record is from RefSeq and is a predicted model, not a curated record.
CUUAUCUGCCAACAAAGACAAAGGUCCCCAAAAAGUCACACAACAGGCCUGUUUCUCCAAAUCUAGGGAGCCCCUUGGGGUAGGGUGGCCUUCUGGCAAAGGAGGUCACACCUGACUUGGCCAUUACUAUCCCAGGAACUCUGGGCGGUCUGCUCCACCUCCCCAGCCUUGGGGCCUUGUUGUCGAACAGGGUUGAAAUGCGGAGGAAGCCACCUAAUCUGGGGGAUGUCCCUAUCCGACUGGCUGAAAGCUAACUGCGGCCAGCACCCAUUCCAGCUCAGCCUCAGCACCCAUUCCAGCUCAGCCUUUUGCCGUCCAUAUGUGUGAUCAGGACUGUGUCUCUGUUUUCUCAUCGGAAAAAUGAGAAGAACAGUUCCUUCCUCACAGGUCUGUUGUGAGGACUGAAUUAAAGGAUGAGAGAAGGAAACCAACCAGCAUGGGGCCUGGGUGACUGGAUGUGAAUCAGCCAGCACAGUAGGUGCUCAAUACAGGGGCAAAAUCCUCCCAGAGAAGAAGACCAGCUGUUCCCAUACCAACAAAAGAAAAAUACGGUGUUACGAGAGAAGGCCAGGAAAAUCGCAGAGCCCCAAACCAGAGCUGCAGGAUAACCACUCCUGGACCCACCCACCUCUAGACAUUUUGUUUAAUGAGAUAAUCAAAUGUCAGCGUUGCUGAAGAUAACGUGCCUCAAGUCUCCCGAGAAUGGGCCCACCUCAGGGUCCCUGCCUCCCUCGGUGAUUAACUACGAGCAGCCCCUGGGAAGGGUGGCUUCUACUCAACUGUAAAGAUGACUCCAAUGGUCCAUCUGUCAAUUAGGCUCCGCACAGGAGAUCUGAAAGCCAUGACACACGACGGAAACCUAAACCUGCAGCCUGAAGCAGAGACUUCUCAGAUGACCUGCAGACCUAUGAGUAAGAAAAUGAAGAUUUGCUAUUAAACAUGGGAGCUUUGCCUGUGCUGACCUGAAGAUCUCCAACAUUUAUUAUUAAGAGAGAAAAGAGCCCAGAGAAUAGCACUGUGCUAGGAACUAAGGAUGCAGUGAAGAGGAAACCAAAAUCCCUGCCCCUGUGGAUCUGACGUGCUUGUGAGAGAAGCAGACAAGAAACGAAUGAGUAAGACAUCAGCGUGAUUAACAUCUGUAAUGUGGACUAUAUGUGAAGGAGAGUAUCCUGGAUCCUCUGGGCAGACCCGACCCAAUCAGUUGAAAGGCCUUAAGAGCAGAACUGAGAUUUCCCGAAGCAAGAAGAAAUUCCACCUGCGGACAGGACAGGAGCGUCAGCAACAGCCUGCCUGUCCUCCUGAACUGCCUGCCCUGCAGAUUUCAGACCUACCAAACCAGACUCCACCACCAGAUUUGGAAACCGACGCAGAAAGGCUGAAUCCUGUCACAGAGUGG